This is a long non-coding RNA of Chelonia mydas (Green sea turtle), 1313 nucleotides long. RefSeq lists it as uncharacterized. Lineage: Eukaryota; Metazoa; Chordata; Testudines; Cheloniidae. The record is from RefSeq and is a predicted model, not a curated record. The transcript has 2 exons.
AGAAGCUAUAAAAGGGGGAAGUGACAUCACCAAUUGGCCUCACUUCCCCUACUACAUAACACCUGAGGAACAGACUGAAUUGAGGAAGGUGGUCCCAGGCAGGAAAGAAGAAAGCUCUGCCUGUUUAUGGAAGAUUGGUAGACUGUUUGUACCAUCAGGAAACAAAUUACCACGAAGAAAGGAAGGGAUUUAUUUGUAUUCCUGUGGUGGAGUUGGUGACAUCCAAUAUGACAGAGCGGUUUCUCUACCUCCGUCAGCUCCAUGAGGACUUCACAAUGACAGUGACUCCAGGGCAGCCACAGGUUUCUGUUUAACCAUCAACACAUGCGGAGUGGGAGGUGAAUCUUCCUUAUCUCAGUAGCCUGGCCUCCAGCAGGCUGGCUGGGGAUUCAGUCUUUUCCUUUCUGAAAGAAGGCCAUGCUAUUUAAUACUCUAUGUGCAGCAUGGGCUAGACUCUGGUCUUUGAGACCUUGGUGUAAAUUCAGGAUUUCCUCACUGAAGUAACUGGAGUUGCUCCAGAACUGCACUGCUGUAACCUAGAUCAAAGGCUGGUGUAACAUGUAUUCAACAGAGACCACACUCCGCUCUCAGUUACGCCUGUAUAAUGACUUCAGCAGAGUUACUCGGUACCAUUUCCAGUGGUGUAUAUGUGUGGGUAUAUGAGGAUGUGUGUGUGUUUUUUGUGAUAAAGUAUUUGAACGAGUUAAGCCCUUUAUUGUAUCAGUAUCAAAUGGUAUCUUUAUCCAAUUAACUUCUACAGUGCUUGACUUCAUCUUUCUCCAAAGCUGACUUAAAAAUUAAUGAUACUUUGCAUUUCUCGUGCCUUUCAUCUGACGAUCUCAAAUGGACUGCUGGUAGCAAAGGGUUGUUGUUUUUUUUAACUAGCUGCUAAAAAUGUAACAAAUCAUUAGGGGGAUUCACUUCCUGUGCCUUGCUCUCUGUGUUACUAAGCAAGCAGAGGCUGAGGACAGGUAUUUGAACACUCCAUCAUCUGUAUCCCGUAACACAAACAAGAAGAGCACAGCUAUUUAAUAUUACUCUUUAUAAUUAAAUACAGCUUUUAUUAACCUAAUGUGAAAUCUCACCAGACACUGAAUGCAAAAGCUUCUGUCUCAGACAGAAGAAGGUCACUUGUUUGGGAGGCAGGAGGGUAAUGUGGUCCCCCUGGGACCUUCUGCAUUUAGCAGCUGGUUAUGAGUUUGAUUGAAACCACCCGGGCAUGUGGGGUAAGUCACAACUCAGUGUAUUGUGGUGGUGAGAAUGAUGAUUCAGCUGGAGCAGCGUUUGUUCUCCUGGGAUACUAGGGUUAUCUU